GGAAUCUUAGACAAUGGGCGCAAGCCUGAUCUAGCCAUGCCGCGUGAUCGAUGAAGGCCUUAGGGUUGUAAAGAUCUUUCAGAUGGGAAGAUAAUGACGGUACCAUCAGAAGAAGCCCCGGCUAACCCCGUGCCAGCAGCCGCGGUAAGACGGAGGGGGCUAGCGUUAUUCGGAAUUACUGGGCGUAAAGCGAACGUAGGCGGAUUAGAAAGUCAGAGGUGAAAUCCCAGGGCUCAACCUUGGAACUGCCUUUGAAACUUCUAGUCUUGAGUUCGAGAGAGGUGAGUGGAAUUCCGAGUGUAGAGGUGAAAUUCGUAGAUAUUCGGAGGAACACCAGUGGCGAAGGCGGCUCACUGGCUCGAUACUGACGCUGAGGUGCGAAAGCGUGGGGAGCAAA
Molecule: ribosomal RNA, 397 nt
Filed under: uncultured bacterium
Lineage: Bacteria
Description: bacterial SSU rRNA
Rfam family: Bacterial small subunit ribosomal RNA
Source: RNAcentral